RNAcentral lists this ribosomal RNA (632 nucleotides) under [Candida] sp. W3. Its description in RNAcentral is "eukaryotic LSU rRNA". It matches the Rfam family "Eukaryotic large subunit ribosomal RNA", at positions 32 to 677 of the family's 3401-position model. Lineage: Eukaryota; Fungi; Ascomycota; Saccharomycetes; Saccharomycetales. The record is from RNAcentral.
AGUCACGACGCAUAUCAAUAAGCGGAGGAAAAGAAACCAACAGGGAUUGCCUUAGUAGCGGCGAGUGAAGCGGCAAAAGCUCAAAUUUGAAAUCUGGCUCUUUCAGAGUCCGAGUUGUAAUUUGAAGAAGGUAUCUUUGGGUCUGGCUCUUGUCUAUGUUUCUUGGAACAGAACGUCACAGAGGGUGAGAAUCCCGUGCGAUGAGAUGAUCCAGGCCUAUGUAAAGUUCCUUCGAAGAGUCGAGUUGUUUGGGAAUGCAGCUCUAAGUGGGUGGUAAAUUCCAUCUAAAGCUAAAUAUUGGCGAGAGACCGAUAGCGAACAAGUACAGUGAUGGAAAGAUGAAAAGAACUUUGAAAAGAGAGUGAAAAAGUACGUGAAAUUGUUGAAAGGGAAGGGCUUGAGAUCAGACUUGGUAUUUUGUAUGUUACUUCUUCGGGGGUGGCCUCUACAGUUUAUCGGGCCAGCAUCAGUUUGGGCGGUAGGAGAAUUGCGUUGGAAUGUGGCACGGCUUCGGUUGUGUGUUAUAGCCUUCGUCGAUACUGCCAGCCUAGACUGAGGACUGCGGUUUAUACCUAGGAUGUUGGCAUAAUGAUCUUAAGUCGCCCGUCUUGAAACACGGACCCCUGUGUGAA